GUUGUUGCUGCAAAAUCUGGGCUGCAGAUUUGGUAAAGCUUUGCAUCCUCUUUCACUUUUUCUUGAAAAAAAAUAGAAUCCAUAGAUUGAUUCACA
Molecule: long non-coding RNA, 96 nt
Organism: Ipomoea nil (Japanese morning glory)
Lineage: Eukaryota; Viridiplantae; Streptophyta; Magnoliopsida; Solanales; Convolvulaceae
Exons: 3
Source: RefSeq, a predicted model, not a curated record